AACUGAUACUACCUGCGGGAACCUGCGGAAGGAUCAUUACCGAGUUAUCCAACUCCCAACCCCUGUGAAUUAUACCUUUAAUUGUUGCUUCGGCGGGACUUCGCGCCCGCCGGGGACCCAAACCUUCUGAAUUUUUAAUAAGUAUCUUCUGAGUGGUUAAAAAAAUGAAUCAAAACUUUUAACAACGGAUCUCU
RNAcentral lists this unclassified non-coding RNA (194 nucleotides) under soil metagenome. Its description in RNAcentral is "partial contains 5.8S ribosomal RNA, internal transcribed spacer 2, and large subunit ribosomal RNA". The record is from RNAcentral.